Molecule: ribosomal RNA, 452 nt
Filed under: uncultured bacterium
Lineage: Bacteria
Description: bacterial SSU rRNA
Rfam family: Bacterial small subunit ribosomal RNA
Source: RNAcentral
AGCGAACGCUGGCGGCAGGCUUAACACAUGCAAGUCGAGCGGGCGUAGCAAUACGCCAGCGGCAGACGGGUGAGUAACGCGUGGGAACAUACCUUUUGGUUCGGAACAACACAGGGAAACUUGUGCUAAUACCGGAUAAGCCCUUACGGGGAAAGAUUUAUCGCCGAAAGAUUGGCCCGCGUCUGAUUAGCUAGUUGGUGAGGUAAUGGCUCACCAAGGCGACGAUCAGUAGCNGGUCUGAGAGGAUGAUCAGCCACAUUGGGACUGAGACACGGCCCAAACUCCUACGGGAGGCAGCAGUGGGGAAUAUUGGACAAUGGGCGCAAGCCUGAUCCAGCCAUGCCGCGUGAGUGAUGAAGGCCCUAGGGUUGUAAAGCUCUUUUGUGCGGGAAGAUAAUGACGGUACCGCAAGAAUAAGCCCCGGCUAACUUCGUGCCAGCCGCCGCCGUAAC